This is a long non-coding RNA of Leucoraja erinaceus (little skate), 3143 nucleotides long. RefSeq lists it as uncharacterized. The record is from RefSeq and is a predicted model, not a curated record. NCBI's taxonomy places the organism in Eukaryota, Metazoa, Chordata, Chondrichthyes, Rajiformes, Rajidae. The transcript is spliced from 3 exons.
UGGGAAAUGUGCCAAGAUCAGCGCUUUUGCUUUCUGUCUGUCUCUCCCCCCCGUCUCUCUCUCUCCCCCUCCCUUCCACCACCACCCCUCCCCUUCAAAAUACCACAAAAAUCUUGGCGCAACCCCGGUCGCAACAAGCAACUGCGCCAAUCCACCCACCGGCCUGACGGUGCACCGGAGAUAUACGUACCAUUGCCAUGUGAAAAAAGACAUAUCAACAAUCGACUUUGUUUGACUCAACACUAAGAAUGCUGGGAACACACAUGCUGGUGGGUCAGGCAGCAUCCGUGGAAAGGGAACCAGAGUUAACGUCUCAGCUCAAGUCUUGGUGAAAUAAAUGAAAUCACAGAUGAGGCCUGACCUGCUGAGCGUUUCCAGCAUUUCCUGGGGUUUUCUGUUUAUUGAGGAUUUCCAGCACCUGCAGCUCUCCGAUCUUCAAUCGAUUUGACUGAUUUGACCGAGAAGAAAGUUGGAGAAUUUCUACCGAUUUUUCACUCUCCAAACGACCCGCGUCUAAUUCUGACUCGGGCUACGCUGCAAUGGAUUCUUAUAUUAGCAAUACCGUCUCCAGUGAUCAGAUCGCGCAAACAUAAUUAGUAUACAUGGGAGACUUGCAUGGACCACAAAUUCUCUGGAGACUCAAAUCAAGGCAAUAUCAAGACACCGAAUUUACUUUUAAACUAUCAACCGGAAAAAAAGGUUAAGAAACUGAAAUCACACAAUAUCUAGAAAUUGUUUAGCAGAAGAAUAAUGUAAUGAAUUUGCUUUUUCAAGAUAAUUGUGUAUAACUAAUAAUGAAUUAGUGAACCAAGAAGACACAAUCGAGAAAAAAAAAGUUAGCAUACAUGGGACGAAUAGCGGGCCGGAUAUGGAAAAAUGUUAACUGCACCUGUCGGUCGCAAUGGAAUUAUCAAGUGUAACUAAUGGAACACCAUUGUCGCUUUCGUAAUGCUUGUUACUGUUACACACGGAGAAAGAGAAGCAACAACUCAAUUACUGCAGCAGCGCGGAAGACCGCGAGUAAGGAUUGUUAUCAGUUCCCCCCAGAUUGUACCACUCCCGACACGCCAAGAGCAAUUUACAGAGGCCAAUUAAUUUAGAGGCACGCUCGCCUUUGGGAUGUGGGUGAAACCACGGCACCCAGAGGAAACCAAUGCAGUUGCAGGGAGAAUGUGCAAACUCCACACAGACAGCACCCGAGAUCUGGAUCCAAGCCGGGUCACUGGCGCUGUGAUGCAAGGUCGAUCUGUGUCAAAUCGCGUUCCUUGGCUUCUGGAGAGAGCAGGGGUUGAGUGAGGAUCACUCACCUGUGUGUUAUCCUCGUUCAGCCGGCGGUGAUUUGUGGCAAGGGCUCCAUGCUUUAAACUGCAACCUAGUGUCAAACUAGUCCUGGUGGAACAUUGUUUGUUUUAAUCCAGUAUCCCGAAGAUAUAUUACAACUCACAUCCGUAUAGAACGCAGUCAUUUGUCAACCCCUGUCUUAUCCAAAUCAUAACUAAAGUGAAGGAGAUUACAGGAAGUGGUAGAGAGUGGUGGACACUGCCCGGUCCAUCACGGGUACUGACUUCCCCGCCAUUGAAGAGGUCUAUAGGAGGCACUGCCUCGGAAAAAAAGCAGCCAGUGUAAUCUAAGAGUCAUAGCGCACUGGCCACGCUCUCAUUUCACGCCUCCCAUCGGGAAGAAGGUACAGGAGCCUGAAAACUCUGACCUCAAGGUUAAAGAACAGUUUAUUCCCAACAACCACCAGGAUCGUGAAUACUACACAACACCAUAAACUUUUGUGAACUGUUCAAGAAGGAACUGCAGAUGCUGGAAGAUCGAAGGUACACAAAAUUGGUGGAGAAACUCAGCGGGCGCAGCAUAACUUUUAUGAACUGUCUUUAGUUGCAGUUCGGUUUAUUUGCACUAAUAUUUUGGUUAUUCAUCAUUUUUUCCUAUUAUAUAUUAUCCAUGCAUAUUGUGUUACAGGCCUGUUAUGUUGCUGCAAGUAAGAAUUUAAUUGUUCUAUUGUCGGUACCUAUGACAAUCUUGGCUCUUGACCUCGACGGAUCAGGCAGCAGCUGCCGAGGGAAUGGGCAGUCCACACCACACACUCCCUCCACAGAUGCUGCCUGAUCUGCCGGGUUCCUCCAGCACUUUUUGUUUUGCUCACGAUUCCAGCAUCUGCAGCCCCAACGUCUGCUAAACAAAAAAUACCAAAUCUGUUGUGAUGCAGUCCAAACUAGGAGACAUCGAACAAACAAUUGUCGAAUUAUUUAAAUUGAGUGGCUUCAAAUGUUAGUGUAUAGGAUUUGCACCCCUAAGUAAAAGACUUAAGUGUGAUUGUCUUGUCAGUGGGGCUCAAGUAAGGACCUGCACAUUAUUCGCCCCCAUCUCUCUUUUCCAGCUCCCUCCCCCUCCCCUCUCCCAUCGGAAUCAGUCCGAAGAAGGGCCCCGACCGAAACGUCGCCUGUCCAUUCCCUCCACAAUUGCUGCCUGACCCGCUCAGUUCCUCCAGCACCGAAGAUAGACACAACAAUCUGGAGUGACGUUUCGGGUCAAGACCCUUCUUCAGACACAAGAACCUCGCCUGAAGAAGGUAGACAAAAAUGUUGCAUAAACUCAGCGGGUGAGGCAGCAUCUAUGGAGCGAAGGAAUAGAUGACCUUUCGGGUUGAGACCCUUCUUCAGACUGAUGUGGGGGUGGAGGGGAAGAAGAAAGGAAGAGGCGGAGACAGUGGGCUGUAGGAUAGCUGGGCAGUGAAAGGGAGGAAGUAAGGACUACCUGGAAUUGGAUUGGAUACUGAAGAAGGGUCUCGACCCGAAAGGUCACCUAUUCCUUUUCGUCAGUGAUGCUGCCUGACCCGCUGAGUUCCUCCAGCUUUUUGUGUCUAUCUUCGGUGUAAACUAGCUUUUGCAGUUCCUUCCUACACGAGUUCCUCCAGCACUUUGUGUCUUACUCAAUCCAUUUCCAAGUCAAGCCAAGGACUGCCUUUCCCAUUUAAGAUCCUUAUGUCUAUGUAAAUUAUUCGUCUUUACUCAAAGUGCGUUCCAGGUUAGGCAAGGGUACUUAUGAUCAUUUUGAAGCACCUCGUUUCUGAAUAGCAGUUUAUCUCAUUCUGAAUAUUUUGUUCUCAUUACGAAAAUAAAUCAUUUUGGAAAGUA